Molecule: ribosomal RNA, 292 nt
Filed under: uncultured Verrucomicrobiota bacterium
Lineage: Bacteria; Pseudomonadati; Verrucomicrobiota
Description: uncultured Verrucomicrobia bacterium partial 16S ribosomal RNA
Source: RNAcentral
GGACUACCGGGGUAUCUAAUCCCGUUUGCUCCCCUGGCCUUCGUGCCUCAGCGUCAGUAACUGUCCAGAGAUUCGCCUUCGCCACUGGUCUUCCUCACGAUAUCUACGCAUUUCACUGCUACACCGUGAAUUCCAAUCUCCUCUCCAGUACUCUAGCAACGCAGUAUUGAAUGCAGUUCCGGGGUUGAGCCCCGGGAUUUCACAUCCAACUUACAUCACCGCCUACGCACCCUUUACGCCCAAUGAAUCCGAACAACGCUUGAGACCUCUGUAUUACCGCGGCGGCUGGCAC